AAAAGACUGCGCUUUGACAUAGAAGACGAA
Molecule: non-coding RNA, 30 nt
Filed under: Cricetulus griseus (Chinese hamster)
Lineage: Eukaryota; Metazoa; Chordata; Mammalia; Rodentia; Cricetidae
Source: RNAcentral